This 441-nucleotide ribosomal RNA is filed under the name Bacillus licheniformis. RNAcentral's name for it is "bacterial SSU rRNA". It matches the Rfam family "Bacterial small subunit ribosomal RNA", at positions 1035 to 1479 of the family's 1533-position model. The record is from RNAcentral. Lineage: Bacteria; Bacillati; Bacillota; Bacilli; Caryophanales; Bacillaceae.
CAAGCGGUGCAUGGUUGUCGUCAGCUCGUGUCGUGAGAUGUUGGGUUAAGUCCCGCAACGAGCGCAACCCUUGAUCUUAGUUGCCAGCAUUCAGUUGGGCACUCUAAGGUGACUGCCGGUGACAAACCGGAGGAAGGUGGGGAUGACGUCAAAUCAUCAUGCCCCUUAUGACCUGGGCUACACACGUGCUACAAUGGGCAGAACAAAGGGCAGCGAAGCCGCGAGGCUAAGCCAAUCCCACAAAUCUGUUCUCAGUUCGGAUCGCAGUCUGCAACUCGACUGCGUGAAGCUGGAAUCGCUAGUAAUCGCGGAUCAGCAUGCCGCGGUGAAUACGUUCCCGGGCCUUGUACACACCGCCCGUCACACCACGAGAGUUUGUAACACCCGAAGUCGGUGAGGUAACCUUUGGAGCCAGCCGCCCGAAGGUGACCACCAACUGCA